AUUUUACGAAGACAAUUGGAGGGCAGUCUGGUGCCAGCAGCCGCGGUAACUCCAGCUCCAAAAGCGUAUAUUAAAGUUGCUGCAGUUAAAAAGCUCGUAGUUGGAUCUGGGUUGUGCGUUCACGCGCCUUUACUUGUCCGUCAGACUCGGUCAAUGCCUUGGCUGAUGUUCAAAUAGGUGUAGUGGGCGUGCUGCCUUUCAGCCGUGUCUGUGUAAACGGGUGCUGACUGGGUUGAUGAGCUUGUCUUGUUAACCUGUUGGCAUGCUUCUAGAUGCCCUUUACCGGGUGUCGGGAGCGGACGGCAUCUUUACUUUGAACAAAUUUGAGUGCUCAAAGCAGGCCUGUGGGCCUGAAAAUUCUUGCAUGGAAUAAUGGAAUAGGACUUCGGUUCUAUUUUGUUGGUUUUCGGAUCCGAAGUAAUGGUUAAGAGGGACAGACGGGGGCAUUUGUAUGGCGGUGUGAGAGGUGAAAUUCUGGGAUCGCCGCCAGACAAAUCCCAGCGAAAGA
This 508-nucleotide ribosomal RNA is filed under the name Clinostomum complanatum. RNAcentral's name for it is "SSU rRNA". It matches the Rfam family "Eukaryotic small subunit ribosomal RNA", at positions 532 to 952 of the family's 1831-position model. Lineage: Eukaryota; Metazoa; Platyhelminthes; Trematoda; Strigeidida; Clinostomidae. The record is from RNAcentral.